Molecule: ribosomal RNA, 439 nt
Filed under: uncultured Rhizobium sp.
Lineage: Bacteria; Pseudomonadati; Pseudomonadota; Alphaproteobacteria; Hyphomicrobiales; Rhizobiaceae
Description: bacterial SSU rRNA
Rfam family: Bacterial small subunit ribosomal RNA
Source: RNAcentral
GUGCAUGCGCAGCUACACAUGCAGUCGAGCGCAUCCUUCGGGAUGAGCGGCGGACGGGUGAGUAUCGCGUGGGAACGUGCCCUUUUCUACGGAAUAGCCUCGGGAAACUGGGAGUAAUACCGUAUGUGCCCUUCGGGGGAAAGAUUUAUCGGCAAAGGAUCGGCCCGCGUUGGAUUAGGUAGUUGGUGGGGUAAUGGCCUACCAAGCCUACGAUCCAUAGCUGGUUUGAGAGGAUGAUCAGCCACACUGGGACUGAGACACGGCCCAGACUCCUGCGGGAGGCAGCAGUGGGGAAUAUUGGACAAUGGGCGAAAGCCUGAUCCAGCCAUGCCGCGUGAGUGAUGAAGGCCCUAGGGUUGUAAAGCUCUUUCACCGAGGAAGAUAAUGACGGUACCCGGAGAAGAAGCCCCGGCUAACUUCGUGCCAGCAGCCGCGGUAA